UCGAGGGAGACAGUAAAAUAUGUUUGAAAGCAAAGAGAAUACUAGGGAUAGAAAGGGUUAAACAGAAUUAAUGGUAAGUUCUUUUAAUAUAUAAGAUGUAUUAUUUGGCUUUAGUGCUGACCCAUUUAAAAACCAAAGUAAACAGAAAGCACAGUGGUCUUUACGUGUGACUACCUCUUGCAUGAUCACCUGGAAAGAGCUCUGUAGGAAGGCAUGUAGUUAAUAUGACAGGCUAGGCAAAGAUCGAGUGAUGUUUGCAGGUUGGAGACUGCAGCAAUGAGGCGGGUGCAGCUGUUAGCUUCAUCCUGCUAGAGAGAAAGGUGGGGCAGCAAGGGGUUAAUUAAACUGCCCAAGCUCUACAGCUCUCCUGGGUAAAAUUUAUUAUCUACCCCAGGCGCCCUAGUACUGUAUCAUUACUUACUCCAGACUUGCCUGCCCUUAGCUCCGUAGUUACUGCCACAUGUGCUAGUGAGCCUUUGGAAUGUGGCUCGUACAGGCAAGACAUGCUCAAAGUGCUGCACUGGGUUAUAAGACUUAGUAUGGGAAGUCUUACCAUUUCAUUUAUAUAUUAGAAUGAUAGCAUCUGGUUAUAUUAUAUUUAAAUAUAAUAUUAAAUUUAGUCCUUUUAAGUGCAAUUACUAGUUAAUUUAAAAUUACAUUUGUGGCUGCUGUUGACCCUGCCUGACAGUGAGUGGGCAGCGAUUGAUGGCAGGGAGGAGAAGAUGGUAUCAGGCCGUUUGAUCUAUGUUGACAUUAGUGUUCCUAAGACCUGUGAUCCCUGGGCCAUCAGGCAGAUAUGUGGAACUGAGUGUGUGUGGGAGGGCCUGAGUGUGUAUAGGAGAGUCAAGGCCUGGAGCCCUGGACCCAUGCAGACUGCUCAAACUCCUGGAGAAAGGGGUGGUCUCCAAGCCACCAGUCAUUCUUACUUUUUAGUUUCUUUCUUAUUCUUUUGUUGUUUCUCCCUCCCUCUCCCCAGAGGGAAACUGGCAGGAAGUCUGUAAUUCUGGGGUUUUGAAGGCAAACAAAGUAAUGUGAUUGCUAUUUUAUUUUUUUUCUGAUGAGUUUUGUUAUGUUGUGCUUUAAUAAAAGGAGAGACACAUGCAUUGGUGAUAGUGUCGCUUACUUUUGGAUAUUGAGUGGCUACUGAUUAUUUAAGGGAUAAAAAUCCAGUUACAAUCACCCUAUAAUGUGUCCUGUGGCCAUUGGUGUUAACGAGUUCCACACAGCUCAUGAUGCAAACUGGGAGCCACCAGUGGCUGUGUGGUGUGGUGGUUUUUGGAUCACUAUGCUGCUCCCGGAUCACCUCAGAAGUUGCCACUCAAGGCCUCAUUCUACCACGCACCUGCAUUUGAAUUCAGACCAGGGCUUAGGACUUUUGAAUUAUUUUAAGACUACAGAAGUUACAGAUCUAGUUACUUGUCUAAGAGACAGUUGCCGUAGAAUAAAUAUUUCUAACUUUUCUUUGUAGUAAUAGAUAACACAUUAAACAGAUUAAUCUUUUUUUCCUCGUGAUUACAUGAACUUUCUAGACCUCAGGUUUUACAGAAAUGUUCCCUAUUAACAUAAAAUUAAAUAGUUCAUAAUUUAAUAUUAAGCACGUUCUAUGCUUACCUAUAACCUUGAUCAAUGAUUAAUCAGUAAGGAAACAGCACUAUAACAUGGAUGGUAUUCUUUUUAAAGCAUGGGUCUUGGGGGUAGCUCUGGCCCCCACACUUGCUCAGUGAACAUGUUAACUCACCUAGCUGUCUGUUGAUAGUCUGAUGAUGCUGAGAAUAUAUUCCCAUGACAGUAGGAGCUCGCUAGGUUAUUUUUCUUUUCCUUCCGUUGAAAGUGACUUUCUAGUCAGGCAUUGAAGAGUGGGUAAGCCUUCAUUGACACAGAUUUCUUAAUAUAUUUCUCAGGGCCGUUCUCUUUGGCAUGCUUUAAAUUGUAACAUGAAGAGAUAUUGGAUCUCUGUAGGGGCAGGAAAUCUAAACAACUGCUGUCUUCCGCUUGACUGUAUGAGUCAUUUGUGAAUUGAGUCAGGUUCUUUUUAUAACGAUAUAAAGGAAAUAUAAAAAUCCCUUUUAUAGUGUUGUACAUUCAGCAGAGAUUAUGUUCUCUAACUGAGCUCUUUGGAGGCUGGCUUUCUUUUGUAUCUGGAAGCUAGCACGGAGAAGAUGCUACUUUUUGAAUGAAUGAAUGAAUUAGUGAGUGAGUGAGUGGCUUCUUGGAGAGCUUUUAUUCUGCAAGGUUGUUUUGAUGUUCUGGUAAUUUGAUAUAUGAAUAAUUUUAUAGCAAUUUUAAAUGUGAACCAUGAACUUUAAUUUCUCAUUUAAAGACAGUACAUUUUCUGAAACUGUUUUGUUGUUGUCUUGUGAUUUUUGGUUUUUCAAGACAGAUUUCUCUGUGUGGCCUUGGCUGUCCUAGAACUAACUCUGUAGAUCAGGCUGGCCACAAACUCAGCAAUCUGCCUGCCUCUGUCUCCCACCAGCUGGGGUUAAAGGCGUGUGCCACCAUUGCCUGGCUUCUAAAAGGAUUAGGUUGACUAAGUUGUCAGAAUCAACCCACAGUGAGAUCGUUUGUUUUGGUGAUGUAGUCAGGUGAAUGAAGACAGUGUUUAAUGGAUGAUAUGGCCAAAGAACCAAAUUUAGUUAUCCAAAACAGUUUGAAGACAUUGUUCAUCGUAUAGGAUUGGCUGGCCUUCAACUCUGUAGAUCAGGUUGGCCUCAAACUCACAGAAGAGUACUGGUAUUUAAAGGUUUGUAUCACCACUCCUGGGAAAUUGUUCAAGUUUUUAAAACCUCUCUUAAGGGCUGAGUAUCAAGGAGAUAUUUCUAUUUAAAAAAUAAUUUAAAACAAAC
Molecule: long non-coding RNA, 2843 nt
Filed under: Mus musculus (house mouse)
Lineage: Eukaryota; Metazoa; Chordata; Mammalia; Rodentia; Muridae
Description: long non-coding RNA chr1:185216153-185218996
Source: RNAcentral